CCUACGUGUGGCAGCAGUGGGGACUAUUGCGCAAUGGGCGAAAGCCUGACGCAGCGACGCCGCGUGAGGGAUGAAGGUUUUCGGAUCGUAAACCUCUGUCAGAAGGGAAGAAGUUGCAUGGGGCCAAUCAGCUGUGCAUUGACGGUACCUUCAAAGGAAGCACCGGCUACCUCCGGUCCAGCAGCCGCGAUAAUACGGAGGGUGCGAGCGUUUAUCGGCAUUAAUGGGCGGAAAGCGCACGUAGUCUGUAUGUCAGGUCACGGGUGAAAUCCCACGGCUCAACCGUGGAACUGACUUUGAAACUGGCAAACGGGAGGAUGUGAGAGGGCGGCGGAAUUCCUGGUGUAGGAGUGAAAUCCGUAGAUAUCAGGAGGAACAUCAGUGGCGAAGGCGGCCGCCUGGCACAAAACUGACGCUGAGGUGCGAAAGCGUGGGUAGCAAACAGGAUUAGAUACCCCAGUAGUC
This 465-nucleotide ribosomal RNA is filed under the name uncultured bacterium. RNAcentral's name for it is "partial 16S ribosomal RNA". It matches the Rfam family "Bacterial small subunit ribosomal RNA", at positions 338 to 795 of the family's 1533-position model. The record is from RNAcentral.